CGCGUAGGUGGUUGCGUCAGUCGGAUGUGAAAUCCCCAGGCUUAACCUGGGAACUGCAUCUGAUACUGCGUGACUCGAGUGCAGCAGAGGGAAACGGAAUUCCUGGUGUAGAGGUGAAAUUCGUAGAUAUCAGGAGGAACACCGGUGGCGAAGGCGGUUUCCUGGGCUGACACUGACACUGAGGCGCGAAAGCGUGGGUAGCAAACAGGAUUAGAUACCCUGGUAGUCCACGCUGUAAACGGUGAGUACUGGGUGUGGGAGGUGUAACGCCUUCUGUGCCGAAGCUAACGCGUUAAGUACUCCGCCUGGGGAGUACGGCCGCAAGGUUGAA
RNAcentral lists this ribosomal RNA (331 nucleotides) under uncultured bacterium. RNAcentral describes it as "bacterial SSU rRNA". It matches the Rfam family "Bacterial small subunit ribosomal RNA", at positions 568 to 898 of the family's 1533-position model. The record is from RNAcentral.